GUAUUUAUGUGUUGUCUCACAGUUUAGCGCUAACGUUUCCAGCGCAAGUUUGAAUCUCUCUCAGUCAGGGCGGAGAUUGACUGACAGACUAACGUUACUCUACCAAACGGUUAUUCACUUAUAAAACCUUUUAAAGUUUAGCGCAAAUGUUUCCUGUGCAAGUUUGAAUCUCUCUCAGUCAGGGGGGAGAUUGACUGACAGACUAACGUUACUCUUUACCAAACGGUUAUUCACUUAUAAAACCUUUUAAAGUUUAGCGCUAACGUUUCCAGCGCAAGUUUGAAUCUCUCUCAGUCAGUCAGGGGGGAGAUUGACUGACUGACUGACUACUCGCCACCAAACUGUCAUUUACCCAGAAACCUUUUAAAGUUUAGCACAAACGUUUCCUGCACAAGUUUGAAUCUCUCUGUCAGGGGGGAGAUUGACUGACUGACUGACUGACUACUCGCCACCAAACAGUUAUUUACCCAGAAACCUUUUAAAGUUUAGCACAAACGUUUCCUGCGCAAGUUUGAAUCUCUCUCAGUCAGGGGGGAGAUUGACUGACUGACUGACUACUCGCCACCAAACAGUCAUUUACCCAGAAACCUUUUAAAGUUUAGCACAAACGUUUCCUGCGCAAGUUUGGAUCUUUACCAUUCAGGAGACUGGCUGGCUGACUGUUCUCAACCAACCAUCAUUCACACGCAAAAACUUUAAAGAUAAGUAUGAAAGUGCCCAGAGCAGUUUUCGAUGUUUACCAUUAAGGAGGCUGACUGACUAUCAUCUACCACCCGUCAUUAACACAACAAAAACUAAAGAAAUAUUACUCCAUAUGGACCUAUUCAUUUACUCAUUAUGCUGUGAGUACACCACAGUUUUAUCAGUGAAAAAAUGUAUAUUUGUGUGUUUUCUCACUGCUUGGCAUGGACAGAUGUGGCCCUGUUAAAAAUGUUUAAAUGUUGUUUGGUUUAAGGAACAGCACACUGAUUUUGUUAUAAAAUAUUCCUGUUUGGACAGUCUGUUGAAGUCAUAAAGGAAUGGUUGAUAUAUUUCAUAAGGAAAGUGUAAAUGUAAUAUUAGUUUUUAAUGUUGCGAAUUUGGACUGAACAACACACUUCUGUUUUAUAUCUAAACCUUUUGUAAAAUAAAUGAUUGUUCAAUAAA
Non-coding RNA from Misgurnus anguillicaudatus (oriental weatherfish), 1146 nucleotides. The record is from RefSeq and is a predicted model, not a curated record. Lineage: Eukaryota; Metazoa; Chordata; Actinopteri; Cypriniformes; Cobitidae.